This 253-nucleotide ribosomal RNA is filed under the name uncultured bacterium. RNAcentral describes it as "partial 16S ribosomal RNA". It matches the Rfam family "Bacterial small subunit ribosomal RNA", at positions 524 to 776 of the family's 1533-position model. The record is from RNAcentral.
UACGUAGGUGGCAAGCGUUGUCCGGAUUUAUUGGGUUUAAAGGGUGCGUAGGCGGUUCCAUAAGUCAGUGGUGAAAUACAAUAGCUUAACUAUUGAGGUGCCAUUGAUACUGCGGAACUUGAGUACAGACGAGGUAGGCGGAAUUGACGGUGUAGCGGUGAAAUGCUUAGAUAUCGUCAAGAACACCGAUAGCGAAGGCAGCUUACUAGACUGUAACUGACGCUGAGGCACGAAAGUGUGGGGAGCAAAACGG